UUUCAUUUCAUCUUUCACACUUUUCAGUUGCAUACGGCAAUAUGGCAUGAACCCAUGAGACAGCCAAAAAUCAUAUAUAUCAAAGUUGACCAAGUCUCUUCCACAAUUUGACACAUCAGCACAUGAGAGCUUAUUACCUAUAUUUCAUAA
This 150-nucleotide small RNA is filed under the name Arabidopsis thaliana (thale cress). RNAcentral describes it as "ATSL147400". The record is from RNAcentral. Lineage: Eukaryota; Viridiplantae; Streptophyta; Magnoliopsida; Brassicales; Brassicaceae.